AUGGUUUGUGUUUCUGAGCAUGUGUUUGAGUGGGAUGAGAUCCUGUUUCCGAAAUUAACGACAGGAAUGGACAAGACUGCAGUUUCCAAGAGGCGCCAGCAGGUGGCACUGUUCCCAUUUCAAGCUAAUCGCAGUAUAGGUAGAUGCCGCGCGGAGAAACGAGUCCAGGACAUCCUGUGUCCCAUCCCUUGGAGCAUCUCCGCUGCUCAAGGUUCGGCUAUUACUCAGCAGAAGGGCACUGCUGGUCUGGAAAAGAAACUUUAG
RNAcentral lists this long non-coding RNA (264 nucleotides) under Homo sapiens (human). Its description in RNAcentral is "non-protein coding lnc-CAPZA2-1:1". The record is from RNAcentral. Lineage: Eukaryota; Metazoa; Chordata; Mammalia; Primates; Hominidae.